UACAGAGGGUGCAAGCGUUAAUCGGAAUUACUGGGCGUAAAGCGUGCGUAGCCGGUUACAUAAGUCGGGUGUGAAAGCCCCGGGCUCAACCUGGGAAUUGCAUUCGAGACUGCGUAGCUAGGGUGCGGAAGAGGGAAGCGGAAUUUCCGGUGUAGCGGUGAAAUGCGUAGAUAUCGGAAGGAACACCAGUGGCGAAAGCGGCUUCCUGGUCCAGCACCGACGUUCAGGCACGAAAGCGUGGGGAGCAAACAGG
Molecule: ribosomal RNA, 253 nt
Filed under: uncultured bacterium
Lineage: Bacteria
Description: partial 16S ribosomal RNA
Rfam family: Bacterial small subunit ribosomal RNA
Source: RNAcentral